This 786-nucleotide long non-coding RNA is filed under the name Homo sapiens (human). RNAcentral's name for it is "HSALNT0359986". Lineage: Eukaryota; Metazoa; Chordata; Mammalia; Primates; Hominidae. The record is from RNAcentral.
GGCCACCUUGCCUAAGUUUGGGAUGAUCAUUUAGCCUGAAUGAGGAGGCUCAGUGCUCUAAGGAUGGCAUUUUUUCUACCUGGCUCCAUUUUAUUUUGUCAUGUGGCUUGAUGGGCAUGGACAGUGGGGAAGAUCCUGCCUCGGUGGGUGAAUGAAAGGUGUUGUGGUUUUUAAGCAGAGGAAAAUCUUCCUUCGUUUUUUCUGGAAUAGCAGCAAAGCCAUGAUGGAGAAUAAGCAGAAGAUUAAUUUAAAAUACUGGUUACUUUGGCUAAUCCACUGACGGGACUGUUGGUUGAUAUCUGGCACAGACAGAUAGGAAGUGAAGAAUGUGGCACAUCCUUAGACUGCCCGUUGGUGAGAUCUGAAACUAAGUUUCUCAUGACUGGACUGUAUUUCUUUAGCUGCUGGGUGUGAAAAGCCCCAGACAUUGGCUUCUGCUUCUUUCACCAUCAUUAUGAUUUGUGGGCAUUGAUGCUAGGCCUGGAAUCCCUGCAGCAUUCAUCUCUGCUGGGGUUCUCUAAUACAGCGGCUGAGAACGGUGCUAAUUCCAGCUGCCAGCAUGAUCCUCCUUCCCUGGCAAGAGGGAGCCCCGCUCAGAGAACAUUUAAAUACCGUAGAACCAUCCCUGUUACAGGUUUCCUUUGGGAUGCUCUUGACGCAGGAAAUAUGGCUUAUUCUCAUAAAUACUUUGAGAUGUACUUCAGUUUCUCCAAACUUUAUGCAUAACAACACGACUGUAACAACAAAAAGGGAAAUUCUUGAAAGAAAAAAUAUUAGCAGUAAUCU